GUGCUCGCUUUGGCAGCACGUAUACUAAAACUGGAACGAUACAGAGAAAAUUAGCAUGGCCCCUGUGCAAGGAUGACACGCAAAUUCAUGAAGCAUUCCAUAUUUUU
This is a small nuclear RNA of Equus caballus (horse), 107 nucleotides long. The record is from Ensembl. NCBI's taxonomy places the organism in Eukaryota, Metazoa, Chordata, Mammalia, Perissodactyla, Equidae.